ACGCCGUCCCGAGCGGCGUCCGCCGCCUCGAACGGGUCGGCAGCGGGGGUGGUGCCGUGUCGGCGCAGCACCACCCCCGCCUC
This 83-nucleotide non-coding RNA is filed under the name Streptomyces sp. NRRL WC-3605. RNAcentral describes it as "Streptomyces RNA 6106". It matches the Rfam family "Streptomyces RNA 6106". From Rfam's summary of the family: Identified by deep sequencing of transcriptome at the end of exponential growth phase. Appears smaller on northern blot than sequencing transcript. The record is from Rfam by way of RNAcentral. Lineage: Bacteria; Bacillati; Actinomycetota; Actinomycetes; Kitasatosporales; Streptomycetaceae.